Molecule: ribosomal RNA, 457 nt
Filed under: uncultured Rhodoferax sp.
Lineage: Bacteria; Pseudomonadati; Pseudomonadota; Betaproteobacteria; Burkholderiales; Comamonadaceae
Description: bacterial SSU rRNA
Rfam family: Bacterial small subunit ribosomal RNA
Source: RNAcentral
CGGGGGGCAGCAGUGGGGAAUUUUGGACAAUGGGCGCAAGCCUGAUCCAGCAAUGCCGCGUGCAGGAUGAAGGCCUUCGGGUUGUAAACUGCUUUUGUACGGAGCGAAACGGCUUCCCCUAAUACGGGGAGCUAAUGACGGUACCGUAAGAAUAAGCACCGGCUAACUACGUGCCAGCAGCCGCGGUAAUACGUAGGGUGCGAGCGUUAAUCGGAAUUACUGGGCGUAAAGCGUGCGCAGGCGGUUAUAUAAGACAGAUGUGAAAUCCCCGGGCUCAACCUGGGACCUGCAUUUGUGACUGUAUAGCUAGAGUACGGUAGAGGGGGAUGGAAUUCCGCGUGUAGCAGUGAAAUGCGUAGAUAUGCGGAGGAACACCGAUGGCGAAGGCAAUCCCCUGGACCUGUACUGACGCUCAUGCACGAAAGCGUGGGGAGCAAACAGGAUUAGAUACCCCAGU